Molecule: long non-coding RNA, 203 nt
Filed under: Elaeis guineensis (African oil palm)
Lineage: Eukaryota; Viridiplantae; Streptophyta; Magnoliopsida; Arecales; Arecaceae
Description: long non-coding RNA (EGUI_LNC054370)
Source: RNAcentral
UAAUGGGAGGCUAUGAUCUAGUUAUCUCCAUAACUAGCUCAUUUUAUGGACCUAAUAAUUUAGAAGAUUUGGUUAAUAUAUUUUAUAGGAUAUCAGUUGACCUACAAGUCAUAAAUUCUUCCACUGACUUUAUCAAGUCAUGAAAAUGACUAGUGAGUAGCAGGUCCAACCAGCAUGUCGUAAAUCCUUCCACUGAUUUCACC